This 85-nucleotide transfer RNA is filed under the name Candidatus Phytoplasma cynodontis. Its description in RNAcentral is "tRNA-Leu". It matches the Rfam family "tRNA". From Rfam's summary of the family: Transfer RNA (tRNA) molecules are approximately 80 nucleotides in length. Lineage: Bacteria; Bacillati; Mycoplasmatota; Mollicutes; Acholeplasmatales; Acholeplasmataceae. The record is from RNAcentral.
GCGGGUGUGGCGAAAUUGGUAGACGCACUAGAUUUAGGAUCUAGCGCUUUUUAGCAUGCAGGUUCAAAUCCUGUCACCCGUACCU